Long non-coding RNA from Etheostoma cragini (Arkansas darter), 167 nucleotides. RefSeq lists it as uncharacterized. The transcript is spliced from 3 exons. The record is from RefSeq and is a predicted model, not a curated record. Lineage: Eukaryota; Metazoa; Chordata; Actinopteri; Perciformes; Percidae.
GGAGACAUCUGCCGGCCAGGCACACUACCUCAGACUAUUUCCGGUUUAGCGCUCGGCUAACUUGAAUGGGGAUUAGAAGAUUUAAUUGUGUGGCUCUUCCAGACUUUCCAAAUGUUAUCGAACCGAAUGGAUCACAUUUUCAUAGUAUAACAAGUCAUUUUGCAGGG